This 520-nucleotide ribosomal RNA is filed under the name uncultured Glomus. RNAcentral describes it as "SSU rRNA". It matches the Rfam family "Eukaryotic small subunit ribosomal RNA", at positions 569 to 1087 of the family's 1831-position model. Lineage: Eukaryota; Fungi; Glomeromycota; Glomeromycetes; Glomerales; Glomeraceae. The record is from RNAcentral.
AGCAGCCGCGGUAAUUCCAGCUCCAAUAGCGUAUAUUAAAGUUGUUGCAGUUAAAAAGCUCGUAGUUGAAUUUCGGGAUCAAUACGUCGGUCGUGCUUAGGUACGUACUGGCGUAAUUGAUUUCUCCCUUCUGACGAACCAUGAUGUCAUUAACUUGGUGUCAUGGGGAAAUCAGGACUGUUACUUUAGAAAAAAUUAGAGUGUUUAAAGCAGGCUCACGCUUGAAUACAUUAGCAUGGAAUAAUGAAAUAGGACGUUCGAUCCUAUUUUGUUGGUUUUUAGGAUCAACGUAAUGAUUAAUAGGGAUAGUUGGGGGCAUUAGUAUUCAAUUGUCAGAGGUGAAAUUCUUGGAUUUAUUGAAGACUAACUACUGCGAAAGCAUUUGCCAAGGAUGUUUUCAUUAAUCAAGAACGAAAGUUAGGGGAUCGAAGACGAUCAGAUACCGUCGUAGUCUUAACCAUAAACUAAUGCCGACUAGGGAAUCGGAUGAUGUUAAUUUUUAAUGAACUCAUUCGGCGUC